This 433-nucleotide ribosomal RNA is filed under the name uncultured bacterium. RNAcentral describes it as "partial 16S ribosomal RNA". It matches the Rfam family "Bacterial small subunit ribosomal RNA", at positions 29 to 507 of the family's 1533-position model. The record is from RNAcentral.
AACGAACGCUGGCGGCAUGCCUAACACAUGCAAGUCGAACGAGACCUUCGGGUCUAGUGGCGCACGGGUGCGUAACGCGUGGGAAUCUACCCUCAGGUUCGGAAUAACUCAGAGAAAUUUGAGCUAAUACCGGAUGAUGACGUAAGUCCAAAGAUUUAUCGCCUGAGGAUGAGCCCGCGUAGGAUUAGGUAGUUGGUGGGGUAAAGGCUCACCAAGCCGACGAUCCUUAGCUGGUCUGAGAGGAUGAUCAGCCACACUGGGACUGAGACACGGCCCAGACUCCUACGGGAGGCAGCAGUGGGGAAUAUUGGACAAUGGGCGAAAGCCUGAUCCAGCAAUGCCGCGUGAGUGAUGAAGGCCUUAGGGUUGUAAAGCUCUUUUACCCGGGAUGAUAAUGACAGUACCGGGAGAAUAAGCUCCGGCUAACUCCGUG